This 1012-nucleotide long non-coding RNA is filed under the name Octopus vulgaris (common octopus). Lineage: Eukaryota; Metazoa; Mollusca; Cephalopoda; Octopoda; Octopodidae. The record is from RNAcentral.
GGAUUAAGUCGAUUAUAUCGACCCCAGUGCGUAACUGGUACUUAUUUAAUCGACCCCAAAGGGAUGAAAGGCAAAGUCAACGUCAGCGGAAUUUGAACACAGAACAUAACAGCAGACGAAAUACUGGUAAGCAUUUUGCCUGGCGUGCUAAUUUUUCUGUCAACUUGUCGCCUUUAUAUAUAUAUAUAUAAGUUCAGCAAAAUUUAGAUUCGGAUGAAUAUGGUACUUAAGUUAGAUGCACCAGAACUUUGUAUGGUGCUAUCCAUAUAAAUCCAUGGGGUGAUUAUAAUCAAAAAAAGCAACAAGAAUAUCUCUGGUAAUUUGGUACGAUCGUUUCACGCUACCAAAUUACCGGAGAUAUUCUUGUUGCUUAUUUUGAUUAUAUAUAUAUACACACACACAGUUGCAGGCAUGGCUGUGUGGUAAAAAGUUUGCUUUCCAAUCACAUCAUCCUAGGUUCAGUCCUGUUGCAUGGCAUCUUGGGCAAUUGUCUUCUGCUACAGCCCUGGACUGAUCAAAGCAUUGUUAGUGGAUUUGGUUGAAAGAAACCCAUUAUAUAUAUAUAUAUAUAUAUAUAUAUAUAUAUACAUACAUACACCCAGAAUCAUGCUUAGGAAUGAAAUUUAGGAUUUCUCAGUUUUUUGUGAAUUGAAUUUUCGUAAAACUUUUCCCAGCUGGUUUGCACACUAUGGCAACACCAUUGUUAUGUUUUCAUUAUUCUGUGUAAUAUCCUUUCUUUUUUAUUUCAGAUUCUUCAGUUUUUUGGUUGUGGAAAAGGCCUUAACGAUGAAGGAAAGUCUGUCAUCAUCAAGAAAAGUGCUAAAGACACCCCUCUUCAUGUCAUUGCGGAGAAGUUAGGUCAUCAUGUGGACACAGAUGAUUCCUGAAGGACUCUUCACCAAGGAAGAAACAAUCUUAUUGUGGGACCUCCAAUACUGUGACAGCUAGGGAUUUAGGGAAUAUUGGCUGCAAGUUAUGUGGGAAACCUGGACAAACAAGCAAAGCUAUUUUC